This is a non-coding RNA of Acanthosepion pharaonis, 102 nucleotides long. The record is from the annotation of a GenBank genome assembly. Lineage: Eukaryota; Metazoa; Mollusca; Cephalopoda; Sepiida; Sepiidae.
UUACGGCCAUAGCACGCCGAAAAACCGCUUCUUAUACGAUCAUCGAAGUUAAGCAACCUUAAGCCUGGUCAGUAUCUAGAUGGGUGACCGCUUAGGAAUAGC